UCUGAAAUGAAGUAGGACCACCCGCUGAACUUAAGCAUAUCAUUAAGCGGAGGAAAAGAAACUAACAAGGAUUCCCCUAGUACGGGCGACGGAAGCGGGAAAAGCCCACGCUGGUAAUCUGCGGGCGUUAGCUCGUCGAAUUGUAAUCUGAAGAUGGUUGGUCUAACGGAGUCGGGCGACGAAGUGUGCACGAGCGCGCCGCCAAAGAGGGUGAGAGCCCCGUAAGUUGCCAGACUCUACAAAGGCCGGUCGUCGAAGAGUCGUGUACUUUGAUACUAGUGCACCAAGCGGGAGAUAAACUUCUUCUAAGGCUAAAUAUAAGUAGGAAACCGAUAGCGAACAAGUACUGUGAAGGAAAGAUGAAAAGCACUUUGGAAAGAAAGUUAAAAGACUUGAAAUCGUUGAGGCGGACCCGGUAGAAAUGUAUUCUAGCGAAACUCCCUGGGAAGCCUGUACGCGGGUGUCUUGGGAGUUAGCCGAGGCAAGAUGGAGUCGCGCGAUGCUAGAGGCCGUGCAGGAGGUUCUUCGGAAAAGCCUGUGCAGGUUGAGUGUCGGGCGGCUUGAGGGGCUUAGAGCGAUCUUGUCAAAAUGGUUUUUACCGACUCGUCUUGUAACACGAACCAAGGAGUCUAAGACUAACGCGAGUAUGGUGGUGGAGAAACCAACAUGCGAAAUGAAAGUAAAUGAUGCCAAGACAACUGCAGCAUCGACCGACUUUUUUCUCUUGGAAGAGGUUUGAGUAAGAGCGUUAUUCUUAGGACCCGAAAGAUGGUGAACUAUGCCUGUGUAGGGUGAAGUCAGGGGAAACUCUGAUGGAAGCUCGUAGCGAUACUGACGUGCAAAUCGUUCGUCGAACAUGGGUAUAGGGGCGAAAGACUAAUCGAACCAUCUAGUAGCUGGUUCCCUCCGAAGUUUCCCUCAGGAUAGCUGGGACAAUCACGCAGUUUUAUUAGGUAAAGCGAAUGAUUAGAGGAAUCGGGGAUAAAAUGUCCUUGACCUAUUCUCAAACUUUAAAUUGGUAAGAACUCCCGUCUUCGCUUAAUUGAAGCAGGAGGUUCAAUGCGUGUCCUUAGUGGGCCAUUUUUGGUAAGCAGAACUGGCGAUGAGGGAUGCUCCUAACGUCUGGUUAAGGUGCCAAACUGCACGCUCAUCAGAAACUACAAAGGGUGUUAGUUCAUACAGACAGCAGGACGGUGGCCAUGGAAGUCGGAAUCCGCUAAGGAGUGUGUAACAACUCACCUGCCGAAUGAACUAGCCCUGAAAAUGGAUGGCGCUUAAGCGGAUCACUUAUACUCGACCAACAUGAUAAAUGCGAGAUCAUGUUGAGUAGGGGGGCGUGGAGUUUGUCGUGCAUGUCGUGGCGCAAGCCGGACUGAAACAGACUCUAGUGCAGAUCUUGGUAGCAGUAGCAAAUAUUCAAAUGAGAACUUUGAAGACUGAAGUGGAGAAAGGUUCCAUGUGAACAGUAAUUGGACAUGGGUGAGUCGAUCCUAAGAGAUAGGAAAAUUCUGUUUGAAUGUGGCCCUUUUCCGGAAGGGCCCGGCUAUCGAAAGGGAAUCGGGUUAAUAUUCCCGAACCAGGACGUGGAUAAUGAGUGGUAACACAAGCGAAAUCGGGGACGUUGGCGGGAGCCCCGGGAAGAGUUCUCUUUUCUUCUUAACAGUUCAGUGGACCUUGGAAUCGGAUUGCCCGGCGAUAAGGUUCAGUGGCUGGGAAAGCGGCACACUUUUUGUGCCGUCCGGUGCGCUUCCGACGACCCGUGAAAACCCGGUGG
RNAcentral lists this ribosomal RNA (1774 nucleotides) under Schmidingerella taraikaensis. Its description in RNAcentral is "partial Eukaryotic large subunit ribosomal RNA". It matches the Rfam family "Eukaryotic large subunit ribosomal RNA", at positions 1 to 1819 of the family's 3401-position model. Lineage: Eukaryota; Ciliophora; Spirotrichea; Tintinnida; Rhabdonellidae. The record is from RNAcentral.